GCAAGAUUAAAACUCAAAGGAAUAGACGGGGACCCGCACAAGCGGUGGAGCAUGUGGUUUAAUUCGACGAUACGCGAAGAACCUUACCUGGCCUUGACAUAGAAAGAACUUUCCAGAGACGGAUUGGUGCUAGUUUACUAGAGCUUUCAUACAGGUGCUGCACGGCUGUCGUCAGCUCGUGUCGUGAGAUGUUGGGUUAAGUCCCGCAACGAGCGCAACCCUCGUGUUUAGUUACUAACAGUUCGGCUGAGGACUCUAGACAGACUGCCUGGGUAACCAGGAGGAAGGUGAGGACGACGUCAAGUCAUCAUGGCCCUUACGGCCAGGGCUACACACGUGCUACAAUGGGGUAUACAAAGAGCUGCAAUACGGUGACGUGGAGCAAAUCUCAUAAAAUAUCUCCCAGUUCGGAUUGAAGUCUGCAACUCGACUUCAUGAAGUUGGAAUCGCUAGUAAUCGUAGAUCAGCAAUGCUACGGUGAAUACGUUCCCGGGUCUUGUACUCACCGCCCGUCACACCAUGGGAAUUGAAUUCAUUCGAAGCGGGGAUGCUAAAAUAGCUACCUUCCACAGUGGAUUUAGUAACCAGGGUGAAGUCGUAACAAGGUA
RNAcentral lists this ribosomal RNA (608 nucleotides) under uncultured bacterium. RNAcentral's name for it is "bacterial SSU rRNA". It matches the Rfam family "Bacterial small subunit ribosomal RNA", at positions 888 to 1498 of the family's 1533-position model. The record is from RNAcentral.